AUUGAACGCUGGCGGUAGGCCUAACACAUGCAAGUCGGGCGAGUGGCGGACGGGCGAGUAAUGUUUGGGGUUCUGCCUGAUGGAGGGGGAUAACUACUGGAAACGGUCGCUAAUACCGCAUACCAUCAGAUGAAACCAUAUGGGAUUAGCUUGUAGGUAAGGUAACGGCUUACCUAGGCCACGAGCCCUAGCUGGUCUGCAAGGAUGAUCAGCGACACGGGGACGGGGACACGGCCCAGAGCCCUACGGGGGGAAGCAGUAGGGAAUAUUGCUCAAUGGGCGCAAGCCUGAUGCGGCCAUGCCGCGUGUAUGAUAAAGGCCGUCGGGUUGUAAAGUACUUUCAGUCGGGAGGCGUUACCGACAGAAGAGAAACCGGCUAACUCCGUGCCAGCCACCGCGGUAAUAC
This 406-nucleotide ribosomal RNA is filed under the name uncultured bacterium. RNAcentral describes it as "partial 16S ribosomal RNA". It matches the Rfam family "Bacterial small subunit ribosomal RNA", at positions 30 to 526 of the family's 1533-position model. The record is from RNAcentral.